Molecule: ribosomal RNA, 470 nt
Filed under: uncultured Methanomicrobiales archaeon
Lineage: Archaea; Methanobacteriati; Methanobacteriota; Methanomicrobia; Methanomicrobiales
Description: bacterial SSU rRNA
Rfam family: Archaeal small subunit ribosomal RNA
Source: RNAcentral
ACGGGGAGCACCACAACAGGUGGAGCCCGCGGUUUAAUCGGACUCAACGCCGGGAAACUCACCAGAUAAGACAGCUGAAUGAUAGUCGGGCUGAAGACUCUACUUGACUAGCUGAGAGGAGGUGCAUGGCCGUCGUCAGUUCGUACUGUGAAGCAUCCUGUUAAGUCAGGCAACGAGCGAGACCCACGCCAACAGUUGCCAGCUCGUCCUCCGGGAUGGUGGGGACACUGUUGGGACCGCCUCUGCUAAAGAGGAGGAAGGAAUGGGCAACGGUAGGUCAGCAUGCCCCGAAUUAUCUGGGCUACACGCGGGCUACAAUGGGUGGGACAAUGGGUAUCGACACCGAAAGGUGAAGGCAAUCUCCUAAACCCAUCCGUAGUUCGGAUUGUGGGCUGCAACUCGCCCACAUGAAGCUGGAAUCUGUAGUAAUCGUGUCUCAAAAUGGCACGGUGAAUAUGUCCCUGCUCCUU